Molecule: ribosomal RNA, 700 nt
Filed under: uncultured Bacilli bacterium
Lineage: Bacteria; Bacillati; Bacillota; Bacilli
Description: bacterial SSU rRNA
Rfam family: Bacterial small subunit ribosomal RNA
Source: RNAcentral
ACUGAUGGGAGCUUGCUCCCUGAGGUUAGCGGCGGACGGGUGAGUAACACGUGGGCAACCUGCCUGUAAGACGGGGAUAACUCCGGGAAACCGGGGCUAAUACCGGAUAACCCGUUCCACCUCAUGGUGGAGCGGUAAAAGAUGGCCUCUGGCUAUCACUUACAGAUGGGCCCGCGGCGCAUUAGCUAGUUGGUAAGGUAACGGCUUACCAAGGCGACGAUGCGUAGCCGACCUGAGAGGGUGAUCGGCCACACUGGGACUGAGACACGGCCCAGACUCCUACGGGAGGCAGCAGUAGGGAAUCUUCCGCAAUGGACGAAAGUCUGACGGAGCAACGCCGCGUGAGUGAUGAAGGUUUUCGGAUCGUAAAGCUCUGUUGUUAGGGAAGAACAAGUGCCGUUUGAAUAAGGCGGCACCUUGACGGUACCUAACCAGAAAGCCACGGCUAACUACGUGCCAGCAGCCGCGGUAAUACGUAGGUGGCAAGCGUUGUCCGGAAUUAUUGGGCGUAAAGCGCGCGCAGGCGGUCUCUUAAGUCUGAUGUGAAAGCCCACGGCUCAACCCGUGGAGGGUCAUUGGAAACUGGGAGACUUGAGUACAGAAGAGGAGAGUGGAAUUCCACGUGUAGCGGUGAAAUGCGUAGAUAUGUGGAGGAACACCAGUGGCGAAGGCGACUCUCUGGUCUGUAACUGACGCUGAG